AUUGAACGCUGGCGGCAGGCCUAACACAUGCAAGUCGAGCGGAUGAAGGGAGCUUGCUCCUGGAUUCAGCGGCGGACGGGUGAGUAAUGCCUAGGAAUCUGCCUGGUAGUGGGGGAUAACGUCCGGAAACGGGCGCUAAUACCGCAUACGUCCUGAGGGAGAAAGUGGGGGAGCUUCGGACCUCACGCUAUCAGAUGAGCCUAGGUCGGAUUAGCUAGUUGGUGGGGUAAAGGCCUACCAAGGCGACGAUCCGUAACUGGUCUGAGAGGAUGAUCAGUCACACUGGAACUGAGACACGGUCCAGACUCCUACGGGAGGCAGCAGAGGGGAAUAUUGGACAAUGGGCGAAAGCCUGAUCCAGCCAUGCCGCGUGUGUGAAGAAGGUCUUCGGAUUGUAAAGCACUUUAAGUUGGGAGGAAGGGCAGUAAGUUAAUACCUUGCUGUUUUGACGUUACCAACAGAAGAAGCACCGGCUAACUUCGUG
RNAcentral lists this ribosomal RNA (484 nucleotides) under uncultured bacterium. RNAcentral describes it as "partial 16S ribosomal RNA". It matches the Rfam family "Bacterial small subunit ribosomal RNA", at positions 30 to 507 of the family's 1533-position model. The record is from RNAcentral.